This 142-nucleotide unclassified non-coding RNA is filed under the name uncultured Leotiomycetes. RNAcentral describes it as "sequence contains ITS2". Lineage: Eukaryota; Fungi; Ascomycota; Leotiomycetes. The record is from RNAcentral.
CAACCCUCAAGCCCAGCUUGGUAUUGGGUGCCACCGGCAUGGUGCACCCUAAAAUCAGUGGCGGUGCCAUCUGGCUUCAAGCGUAGUAAUUCUUCUCGCUUUGGAAAAGAUGUGACGCUGCCAACAACCCCUAAUACUUCAA